CCCUUAGAUGUUCUGGGCCGCACGCGCGCUACACUGACGAAUGCAACGAGCUUAUAACCUUGGCCGAAAGGUCUGGGUAAUCUCCAAAUUUCGUCGUGAUGGGGAUAGAUUAUUGCAAUUAUUAAUCUUCAACGAGGAAUGCCUAGUAAGCGCAAGUCAUCAGCUUGCGUUGAUUACGUCCCUGCCCUUUGUACACACCGCCCGUCGCUCCUACCGAUUGAAUGGUCCGGUGAAGCGUUCGGACCGUGGCCUUUGGACGGUUCGCCGUCUGUUGGCUGCGGGAAGUUCGUUAAACCUUAUCAUUUAGAGGAAGGGGAANUCGUANCA
Molecule: ribosomal RNA, 327 nt
Filed under: uncultured eukaryote
Lineage: Eukaryota
Description: partial 18S ribosomal RNA
Rfam family: Eukaryotic small subunit ribosomal RNA
Source: RNAcentral